Molecule: ribosomal RNA, 684 nt
Filed under: uncultured eukaryote
Lineage: Eukaryota
Description: SSU rRNA
Rfam family: Eukaryotic small subunit ribosomal RNA
Source: RNAcentral
UUGAUGGUAGUGUAUUGGACUACCAUGGCUUUAACGGGUAACGGGGGAUUAGGGUUCGAUUCCGGAGAGGGAGCCUGAGAAACGGCUACCACAUCUAAGGAAGGCAGCAGGCGCGUAAAUUACCCAAUCCUAAUUCAGGGAGGUAGUGACAAGAAAUAACGGACCGGAGCUUUUGUUCCGGGAUUGCAAUGAGUUGAAUUUAAACCCCUUGACGAGGAUCAAUUGGAGGGCAAGUCUGGUGCCAGCAGCCGCGGUAAUUCCAGCUCCAAUAGCAUAUAUUAAAGUUGUUGCAGUUAAAAAGCCCGUAGUUGGAUUUCUGGGAGGGCACUAAUGUCCGCUUGUUAGCGUGUGCAGCCGUUCCCUCCCAUCCUUCUGUUAACGAUUCUUGGUAUUCACUUACUGGUUUCGGGCUCAGAUAUUUUACCUUGAGAAAAUUAGAGUGUUUCAGGCAGGCUCGCGCCGGAAUACAUUAGCAUGGAAUAAUAGAAUAGGACGUUUGACUCCUUUGUUGGUUUGAGGGUCUGACGUAAUGAUUAAUAGGGAUAGUUGGGGGCAUUAGUAUUUAAUUGUCAGAGGUGAAAUUCUCGGAUUUGUUAAAGACUAACUAAUGCGAAAGCAUUUGCCAAGGAUGUUUUCAUUAAUCAAGAACGAAAGUUAGGGGAUCAAAGACGAUUAGAUACCGUC